UUGGAGGGCAAGUCUGGUGCCAGCAGCCGCGGUAAUUCCAGCUCCAAUAGCGUAUAUUAAAGUUGUUGCAGUUAAAAAGCUCGUAGUUGAAUUUCGGGGUUAGUAGGCUGGUCAUGCCACCGGUAUGUACUGGUCUUACUGAUUCCUCCUUCCUGAUGAACUGUAAUGCCAUUAAUUUGGUGUUGCAGGGAAUCUGGACUGUUACUUUGAAAAAAUUAGAGUGUUUAAAGCAGGCUAACGCUUGAAUACAUUAGCAUGGAAUAAUGAAAUAGGACGUUCGAUCCUAUUUUGUUGGUUUCUAGGAUCGACGUAAUGAUUAAUAGGGAUAGUUGGGGGCAUUAGUAUUCAAUUGUCAGAGGUGAAAUUCUUGGAUUUAUUGAAGACUAACUACUGCGAAAGCAUUUGCCAAGGAUGUUUUCAUUAAUCAAGAACGAAAGUUAGGGGAUCGAAGACGAUCAGAUACCGUCGUAGUCUUAACCAUAAACUAUGCCGACUAGGGAUCGGAUGAUGUUAAUUUUUUAAUGACUCAUUCGGCGCCUUACGGGAAAC
Molecule: ribosomal RNA, 549 nt
Filed under: Rhizophagus intraradices
Lineage: Eukaryota; Fungi; Glomeromycota; Glomeromycetes; Glomerales; Glomeraceae
Also listed under: 1 other name
Description: SSU rRNA
Rfam family: Eukaryotic small subunit ribosomal RNA
Source: RNAcentral